GGGAAAAGGAAGUUAAAGCCUGGACUCCACUGCCCUGGAGCCCAUCGCUGUCUUCUGUGCUGAACGAGCUGCCCAGUGCUGCCACCCUUCGGUACCGAGACCCUGGGGUGCUGCCUUGGGGGGCGCUGGAGGAGGAGGAGGAGGAUGGAGGAAGGAGCAGAAAGGCCUUCACAGAAGUCACCCAGACAGAGCUGCAGGACCCUCACCCUUCCCGGGAACUGCCCUGGCCCAUGCAGGCCAGACGGGCAUACAGGCAAAGAAAUGCCAGCAGGGACCAGGUGGUCUAUGGCUCUGGAACUAAGACGGACCGAUGGGCGCGGCUACUUCGGAGGUCCAAGGAGAAAACAAAGGAAGGCUUGCGAAGCCUGCAGCCCUGGGCGUGGACACUGAAGAGGAUCGGGGGCCAGUUUGGCGCCGGCACGGAGUCCUACUUCUCCCUGCUGCGCUUCCUGCUCCUUCUUAACGUGCUGGCCUCUGUGCUCAUGGCCUGCAUGACGCUGCUGCCCACCUGGUUGGGAGGCGCUCCCCCAGGCCCUCCCGGCCCCGACAUCUCCUCGCCCUGCGGCUCCUAUAACCCCCACUCCCAGGGCCUGGUCACCUUUGCCACCCAGCUCUUCAACUUGCUCUCGGGUGAGGGUUACCUGGAAUGGUCCCCUCUCUUCUAUGGCUUCUACCCGCCCCGCCCACGCCUGGCGGUCACCUACCUGUGCUGGGCCUUUGCCGUUGGCCUCAUCUGCCUCCUGCUCAUCCUGCAUCGGUCAGUG
RNAcentral lists this unclassified non-coding RNA (764 nucleotides) under Homo sapiens (human). RNAcentral describes it as "transmembrane channel like 4 (ENSG00000274384.4, ENSG00000277789.4)". The record is from RNAcentral. Lineage: Eukaryota; Metazoa; Chordata; Mammalia; Primates; Hominidae.